RNAcentral lists this long non-coding RNA (161 nucleotides) under Mustela putorius furo (domestic ferret). RNAcentral describes it as "lncRNA (ENSMPUG00000025194.1)". Lineage: Eukaryota; Metazoa; Chordata; Mammalia; Carnivora; Mustelidae. The record is from RNAcentral.
UUCUAUUUUAUUAUUCAUUAUUGUUAAUUUCUUACUUUUGCCCAAUUUAUAAGUUAAGUUUUAUCACAGGGAACAAAUGCUGAAGAAGCCAAGAAUUGGUUAAAUGAAGGCAAAUGGCCCUUUUUGCUAGAAUGAUGGGGCAGAAGGUGGGAAAAGACAGA